Molecule: unclassified non-coding RNA, 218 nt
Filed under: Hevea brasiliensis (rubber tree)
Lineage: Eukaryota; Viridiplantae; Streptophyta; Magnoliopsida; Malpighiales; Euphorbiaceae
Source: RNAcentral
GCAGAGAAUUGGCCUUCUUGUUGUGCUCGGUGACGGCGAAGCGGGCGAGGUCGACGAGGUGGAGGUCGUUCUCGUUCCCCACCGGCUCGACGCCGCCAAGCACCGGCCCUCCGUCGCUCGACAUCUUCUCCUCCCCUUCUCCCCCUGCGCGAUGCGCCUCGGCCUGAGCGGACGGCGUGGCUAGCGAAUGCAGCACGAGCAGGGCGGCUACCAAUCCG